GAUGAAGAACGUAGCGAAAUGCGAUAAGUAAUGUGAAUUGCAGAAUUCAGUGAAUCAUCGAAUCUUUGAACGCACAUUGCGCCCGCCAGUAUUCUGGCGGGCAUGCCUGUCUGAGCGUCAUUUCAACCCUCAUGCCCCUAGGGCGUGGUGUUGGGGAUCGGCCAAAGCCCGCGAGGGACGGCCGGCCCCUAAAUCUAGUGGCGGACCCGUCGUGGCCUCCUCUGCGAAGUAGUGAUAUUCCGCAUCGGAGAGCGAUGAGCCCCUGCCGUUAAACCCCCAACUCUCCAAGGUUGACCUCAGAUCAGGUAGGAAUACCCGCUGAACUUAAGCAUAUCAAUAAGCGGAGGA
RNAcentral lists this unclassified non-coding RNA (348 nucleotides) under soil metagenome. RNAcentral's name for it is "partial contains 5.8S ribosomal RNA, internal transcribed spacer 2, and large subunit ribosomal RNA". The stretch from base 1 to 120 matches the Rfam family "5.8S ribosomal RNA", at positions 35 to 154 of the family's 154-position model. The record is from RNAcentral.